CUGGAGCAGUGUGUGGUUAAGUACCUUGCUCAGGGACAUAACGCAUUGCCUUGGCUGGGGUUCAAACUCAUGACCUUCAGAUCGCUAGUCCAAUGCCUUAACCACUUGGCCACACAGUUUACUGCUUGAAAUUUACAAUUAAAACUGAAGACUGGUUUUUGUUGAAUUAAUAUUUGCCAUACUUACAUAACUCCAGACUAUUCCCUUACAAUGAUGAUCUUUUGAAAUCCUGAUACUCCUCCGACCCAAUCUCAAUUAAUGCCCCUUCUGAUCCUUGAAUAUUUUUGGCACUGCCUCUGCACUUACCCCCCUACAUAUCAAAAGAACAUUUUGCCUCAAGCUUUGCCACUCUGUCCUCUUCUAAACACACAUCUCAAUUUUCCCCAGCCCCACCCACUAAAAGUCCCCACUUCCAAUCAAAACACACCAGGCUGCAUUUGCUAGCUCUACACUUUUGUGUGCAAGGCCUGACUAUUCAGCAGCAUGCUUUAGGAAUUUAGGGGUGCAAGAACCCAUGUACAAAUAUUAUGUGAGUUGCUGCACAAAUAUUAGUUGAACAUAGUUUUUUGCUUAGAAAAAUCCUUGGCCUUUGCUGAAUUAAAAUUCAGUCAUCACCUCAAUGCUACACCUCACUUCCAAGAAACAUUCUUGCAGCAGUGGAGCUAUUCUCUAACCUUAAUAGGGAAUAGUUCAGCCUACAGUGACUGCACACCAGAACUAAGAUUUCAGUUGGUGAUGAUACAAUAUGAAGAAUAGACUUGUGCUUGCACACACCCAGAGGCUAUGUUCCAAUUAUUGUGAGCCUGCAUACUGGGGCAUUCAAAAGGAUGGGGAUUGCAUGCAGCAUCUACAAGACCAAUACCCUCUACCAAUCUGCAUCCAUUGCAGAAGUCCACCCCAUGACAAUGUGACCAUGGAAAAUGUGGACCACUUCCCUAUCCCAAUGAAGGGAAACAUUAAUGAUGAAAUUCAUCAUUGCCUUCAAUGCACUAAGAGCAUUAGAUCAACUGAGGAAAAGGGCCUGCAGAUCAUGACCUCACAGUCAGCACAAAACUCUUGGGCUAUUAGGCAGCACUCAUCGUUGCCCUCCCAUGUGCUUUGGAAAUGGAUAAUCUACAACAGGAACUUGAAAAGUUAUCACUAAUACUGCAGCAGAAUGCAAAAUUCUCCCAAGUUCACUCAAAGUAUAAACAAACAAAUAUCCAUGGCUUCUCCCAGGCUAACAUGCCCAGCACUAACGUCCACAUUUACCCGUACUGGCUCCAUUAAACAAGAUCAUCCACAUGCUCAACGCCCAAGUGCUGAAACUGGCGCUGUGUUCCAAACUCUGUCUCAGGAACAGGUGACCAGGAAGACAGAUGAUAUCCAAGACUGUGCUCAAAGCUUCCUUGAAAAUAAAAUGCAACAUCCCUAUCGAUUCUUGAGCACCUCUAGCCAAUAACUGUUCAUAUGUGGAGGAGGAGGGUACUUGGAAUGGUAUUGAGAAAAUCUAGAAUACACCAGAAGCACAGUGUCUCAGUGUGAAUGGCAGAUGGAGUCGCCGUUUCCCAAGUUGCCUUCCCUUCUGCUUAUCAGGCUCCUCUUGCCCUUUCAAAAGGAAGUCUGCAGUUCCCAUGGCCUCAACAGUCAGCUCAAAACCAGAAAGGAAGUAAGUCAUCCUCAGUUCCAAGGGACUGCUAUUACAGGAGGAUGUCAAUCUACCUGAUCUUUUACCCAUUCUUUGAUUCAGUCAGUUGUAUAAAAGGGCUCAUAUGUGAAACCACUUUUGGUGAUGCACUGUAGCCACUUUGUUUUUCAACACACUGCAGGACCCCAGGAUUGUGAAUAAUAUUUCAAAUAUCUAUUCAAAUAUUUUUGUAUUUCUACUUUAAGUAAGAUUUAACAUUUUAUGUUUUGGUAAUUCAGAUUCAGUAUAGAAGAUGUUAUUUCAAUAAGUUCAGAUAUAAAAUGCUAUUUCUUCAGGGUAUAUGAAUGGCUAAGAGUUUCUUGUAGCACAUUCAAAUGACAGACAAAAUUUUGGCGAGUAAAGAAUGUAAUUAAAAUAAAAACCUGUGCUGCUAGAAUAUUAAAGGAAACGAGAAAGGAAAUGGUACACAUCUAAAACUUUUUACCAUUAGAGCAACAUUAGAGUAUGUUUCUUUUAUAACUGUGUUAUUUAUACGCUGUACUGCAUCUGGAGUAAUAAUUAUUUUGUUCUUUAAUCUUGUGUACAAGUAAACAAUAUUCUUGAAUGAGAAGCAUCGCAAAUGGAAGAGGUGAAUUAAAAACAGAGGCUAGAAGUAGAAAGGCACCGUGAGCUUGUCUGGAGCUCGGACGAACCACCCGGGUCAAGUGCUACGUUCCAUGGGCGGAGGAAUGGUAAGUGCCUCUGGCUUGUUCAGAGGUGUGUCGACACGCUCAUGGUCAUGUUGUGAUGGCAAGUAUAUGGUAGCGGAAUCCUCCAAAUCUUGGUGGGCCAAUUUAAGGUGAUCUACUGAAAUACGUUCAGAUUUACCCUUCUUAACUAUGAUAAAAAUGUUUUCUCCCCAUUUCAAACUGCAGAACGGGCUGUCAUAAGGGGGCCUAAGGGCAUGCUGGUGUGCAUCAUGGCAGUGAAAACAAAUGAGGCAGAAUGUAACCUCUUAAAUUGAAACUCCAACUCAAUGCUGGUGGUUGUGAAUUAUAUAUGUUUCCACCAAUUACAUUACCCUACUGUCCAACAGGGGCUAACAAGAGAAGAUAAAAUGUGGCAAAAGAUCAAUACAUUACCAAAAUCAGCAGUAAAUCUGAGGAUAGGGAAAAUUUUAGACUUUAGUAGAGGACCAAGAUAUUUAUAAGGAAGGAGUAAGUAGAACAUAUGAAUAAUUUGGCAAGAAACAGACUCACAAACUAAAUGUUCGACAGAUAUUGGAAUAUGAGAAAAGAUCAGCAAAGAUAAUGUGGGUCCUUCACAGAAUGAGCAAGAAAUUGAUUUGGAAAGUUAUGAAAAGACCAAAAAAUUAAGCAAAUAUUUUGUUUGUAUUCAAGGAAAAGGCAACAAACAACCGGAGAUGGUGGGAGACUAUAAGUCAAAACUGAAUGAGGACCUGAAAGAAAUUAGUAACAGUUUAAAGAAAUGUAUUGGAGGAAUUUGUGAAACUAAAAGCCAAUGAAUUCCCAAGACCCGAUGACUUGCAUCCCAAGGCUUUGAAGGAGAGAACAAGCAGGGAAUUAGAGGCAAGCUAGUCUGACAUCAGCAGCAGGGAAAAUUGUCUACUACUUGGGAUUUGACAACAAACCAUUUAGAAAACAAUCAGUGGAAAGAGGGCAGAGUACACAUGGAUUCAUGCAAGAUGAAACAAAACUGGAUGGCAAUGCAAGUUCUGAUGAGAAGGCAGCAUGACUGGCUUCAGGAAGAUAUGGGGAGGCUAAGUGAAUGGAUUUGGCCGUGGAAGACAGAAUGCAAUGUGGGAUGAAAAAACUGUGAAAUUUUCCCCAUACAGAAAAAAAAUGAACAUUGAGAAGCUUUGAUGUUCGAAGAGACCCAGAUGUCCUCGGAGACUUGCAGCUUAAAGUUAACAUACAGCAACUGCAAGCUCUCUUUGUUACAAGAGAAUAUGGGUGUAAGAAUCAAAAUUGCCACAAGAAUAUAGGGUUUUGGUGACUAUUCCUGGAGCAUUGUGGCAAUGAAUGGAAUGAGGGGAGUGUGGUGGGAAAUGUCCCAUGAGAUGAGAUGAAAUAGACUGGCCUCAUGUUCUCUGAAGUUUAGAAGACCAGAAGAUGAUCUAGUUGAAAAGUCUAAAAUUCUAUCUCGCUAGAUAGGGUAGACUGAAGAUUACACAAGAACGAUGGAAGGAGGGGCCACUUCCUGACUGAGAAUAGAAAUUCCUUCACCACAAAGACUUUGAAUCUUUGGAAUUCUUUAUGAAAGAGGGCAGUGGAGUCUCAGAUACUGAUUAUCUUCAAGGCAGAGGUUAAUGUUUGAAUACUAAAGGAAUCAAAAGAUACAAGUUUUGUACUGAUUAAGGAUACUUAAAUAACUGGUCAGCCAUGCUUGUACAGAAUGGCACAGAAGGCAUGAGAGGCUGACUGGGUUGCUCCUAUUUCCAUUUCUUAAGUUCUAGUAAUCUUUUGAAGUGGUAGUUCAACCAAGCUACACAAGGAAGUGGGGUGGUGGUGGUUAUGAUGGUAUAAUGAGAAUCAAGUCACUCGGUGCAGUGUGGAAACAUCAGUGAUGGAGUCAAUGGAGUUGAAUGGUGUGAGCAGGGUCAAUAACUGAUAUCACAGAAUAAAAGAGAAAAAUCUUUGAGGAGUCUCUUCCUUGAAGAAAAGACUUUUUUUCCCUAUAAAACCUUACUACUUUUCAAAGUACAUAAAUGAUUAGACAAGGUUUUGGUAGGCGCAGGACAAAUGUUCAGCUAUUGACUUUUCAAAAAUUACAUACAAAUGACAAAAUUCAUCUUUUGUCAUUUACUCAGUAAAAAUCCUCUCAAUUCAUUGAAUUUAUUUAAGGUCAAAGUAAUACAAUUAAAAUGCUAAAAGGUUGAAUUAAACAUACCUCAGCAUGCUCCUUAUGCUCAAAUGAAAUAUGCUGGGCAUGUUGGGAAUUACAUUUCAAUCACUGGCAACAAGCAGUGUCUGCCUUUAUUCCCCAUUCAGAAAGAAGACGGUUUUAUAACUGGCUUAUAUUGCACAUUAGUGUUUUAAGACUACGGCUUCAAUGUCUAACUGAAGCAACAGUCUCUGACUCAGAAACCUUACACUGAGAUUAAAGGGUUAAGUUUAGGCAACCAUUGUGUUACCUUCUCAAAUCAUUAACAUGCUGUUACUGUUGGCCUUUGGUACCACACAUUUUUUCCCAUUUAAUAUUUCUCUCCUCAAAGCAGAGAGGCUAAAUGAAUACCGUAAAGACACAUCUAAUAUCAUGAAAGAUUUAGAUAAAGUAAUAAUUUCAAGAAUUAAUUUCUAUUCUUCAAAAGUUCAAUAAAGAAAAUAAACAAAUAAAUAAAAACAGAAAAUGCUGCAUGUAUUCGGCACAUUAGGCAGCACAGAAAAACAAAGUCGCUAUUUUAGGUCAACGGCCCUCCAUCAAAACAGGAAAAGUGAGAAAGCAAAUGCAGAGCAAAAUAUUAAGGUGAUUAGUCAAAGAACCAGGUGUGGUAUACACGAAAAAACUGUUGCAGCUAUGAUGCACCAUCAAUAACUCACUCUGAGACGUAAAGGCAAGAUAUCGGCUUUUAUUGAUUGGAAGAAAGAACAAGCAGUAGUUGACCACCAUACUACAUCCUGGAGACUGAGGGCAGGGCUCAGGCCUCAAUCGCCUUUAUACCGGGGUCUGUGGGAGGGGCCACAGGAGCAGUCAGCAGGGGGCGUGUCCAGACAGGUAUAUGUAGUUCACCACAAGCUGAUAAUAAGGGAAAAACAUAUAUUCAUCAGUUGUCUUAGAUGGGAAAUGGCUACUUGGAGGAAAAAUGUAGUUGUGUAGGAUAAGAAUGAGGAAGUGGAACUAAUGGAUUGGCUUUAAAAAAAAAGGCGGAAUGAACUCCUCCUGUGUUGUACUGCUCCAUGAUUCAAUUUGCAACGACGGCAAGCAUUUAUUGGCUACAUUAUGUAAAUAACAAAUCAUUCUUAUUUUAAUACCAAAUCGGCACCAAUGCAUUUCAAAUGAGAGCCAAGGAAUUAAUCAAUUUCCUAUCCAACCAGUUUUUCGAAGGAAUUGCAGUGGCAGAGCUGGAUGUGUUAAUGUUGCAUAGACCAAGAAUGGAACUCGUACUAAUUAUGGGUUUUGGCUGUUUGGAUUAAGACCUUUUGUCAGUUGUCUUAAUUGGCUCAACAAUUUUACUGAUGUUGGUCCUACUAUGGUCGCAGUUAGGUGCUCAUAUCAUUAUUGUUAUGACUGUUUUUAAAAUUUUAGAUGUAACCCAAAAUACUCUACUGGCAAAAAUCCACAAUUCGUCAUCAAACCAAAAAUGUCAACAGUGGGAAGCAUUUAAUCCUUCCACCAGGCUAAUCAACAGGUUACACCAGCUGCCUGCAUCACCAGUGAUGGCAGGUUGACCUUUGAAAAUGAAAGAUAUUGGGAAUGCAAUAUUUUGUGUAAGAACUUGCAAAUGGCUUUCUCUGUUCCUUCUGAAACCAUUUUGAUUACUUAAUCCUAUUAACGUCAAAAGUAUGAACAUUUGGUUUAGCUGGACUGAUUAAAAAAAGGCCACUGCGUUUCUUUUAUUUGAUCUUUUUUCAACAAUAAGCCCUGAAAGGCAGGAGAUGUGUACCUUAUUAAAAUGAGAGACUGUACACUAGCUGCACUGUGCAUGGUUUGUAACUAAUGAUCACCAGUCCUGAGAAAGGAAACCAACAUUGCAUU
Hypanus sabinus (Atlantic stingray) is the source of this 6322-nucleotide long non-coding RNA. RefSeq lists it as uncharacterized. Lineage: Eukaryota; Metazoa; Chordata; Chondrichthyes; Myliobatiformes; Dasyatidae. The record is from RefSeq and is a predicted model, not a curated record. The transcript has 3 exons.